This 24-nucleotide non-coding RNA is filed under the name Arabidopsis thaliana (thale cress). The record is from RNAcentral. Lineage: Eukaryota; Viridiplantae; Streptophyta; Magnoliopsida; Brassicales; Brassicaceae.
UUUGAGUUGAUGAUUAGCAAGGAC